GACGAACGCUGGCGGCGUGCUUAACACAUGCAAGUCGAGCGGUAAGGCCCUUUCGGGGGUACACGAGCGGCGAACGGGUGAGUAACACGUGGGUGACCUGCCCUCAGCUCUGGGAUAAGCCUGGGAAACCGGGUCUAAUACCGGAUAUGACUCCAUGACGCAUGUUGUGGGGUGGAAAGCCUUGUGCGGCUGAGGAUGGGCCCGCGGCCUAUCAGCUUGUUGGUGGGGNGAUGGCCUACCAAGGCGACGACGGGUAGCCGGCCUGAGAGGGCGACCGGCCACACUGGGACUGAGACACGGCCCAGACUCCUACGGGAGGCAGCAGUGGGGAAUCUUGCGCAAUGGGCGAAAGCCUGACGCAGCAACGCCGCGUGGGGAUGAAGGGCUCUCGAGUUGUAAACCCCUUUCAGCAGGGACGAAUCUGACGGUACCGGGUGAGGAAGCCCCGGCUAACUCUGUGCCAGCCGCCGCAGUAAG
Molecule: ribosomal RNA, 477 nt
Filed under: uncultured bacterium
Lineage: Bacteria
Description: bacterial SSU rRNA
Rfam family: Bacterial small subunit ribosomal RNA
Source: RNAcentral